This 374-nucleotide ribosomal RNA is filed under the name uncultured organism. RNAcentral describes it as "partial 16S ribosomal RNA". It matches the Rfam family "Bacterial small subunit ribosomal RNA", at positions 527 to 896 of the family's 1533-position model. The record is from RNAcentral.
GUAGGUGGCAAGCGUUGUCCGGAAUUAUUGGGCGUAAAGCGCGCGCAGGCGGUUCUUUUAAGUCUGAUGUGAAAGCCCACGGGCUCAACCGUGGAGGGUCAUUGGAAACUGGAGAACUUGAGUACAGAAGAGGAAAGCGGAAUUCCACGUGUAGCGGUGAAGUGCGUAGAGAUGUGGAGGAACACCAGUGGCGAAGGCGGCUUUCUGGUCUGUAACUGACGCUGAGGCGCGAAAGCGUGGGGAGCAAACAGGAUUAGAUACCCUGGUAGUCCACGCCGUAAACGAUGAGUGCUAAGUGUUAGGGGGUUUCCGCCCCUUAGUGCUGCAGCUAACGCAUUAAGCACUCCGCCUGGGGAGUACGGCCGCAAAGGCUG